AUUGAACGCUGGCGGCAUGCCUUACACAUGCAAGUCGAACGGCAGCACGGGAGCAAUCCUGGUGGCGAGUGGCGAACGGGUGAGUAAUAUAUCGGAACGUGCCCAGUCGUGGGGGAUAACGUAGCGAAAGCUACGCUAAUACCGCAUACGAUCUACGGAUGAAAGCGGGGGAUCGCAAGACCUCGCGCGAUUGGAGCGGCCGAUAUCAGAUUAGCUAGUUGGUGGGGUAAAGGCCCACCAAGGCGACGAUCUGUAGCUGGUCUGAGAGGACGACCAGCCGCACUGGGACUGAGACACGGCCCAGACUCCUACGGGAGGCAGCAGUGGGGAAUUUUGGGACAAUGGGGGCAACCCUGAUCCAGCAAUGCCGCGUGAGUGAAGAAGGCCUCGGGUU
This 394-nucleotide ribosomal RNA is filed under the name uncultured bacterium. Its description in RNAcentral is "bacterial SSU rRNA". It matches the Rfam family "Bacterial small subunit ribosomal RNA", at positions 29 to 424 of the family's 1533-position model. The record is from RNAcentral.